RNAcentral lists this small nuclear RNA (96 nucleotides) under Stegodyphus mimosarum. Lineage: Eukaryota; Metazoa; Arthropoda; Arachnida; Araneae; Eresidae. The record is from RNAcentral.
GUACUUGCUUCGGCAGUACAUAUACUAAAAUUGGAACGACACAGAGAAGAUUAGGAUAAGGAUUACCCUUCCUAAUUAUUUGGAUGGAAAUUGUUC